This is a non-coding RNA of Hydra vulgaris (swiftwater hydra), 91 nucleotides long. The record is from RefSeq and is a predicted model, not a curated record. Lineage: Eukaryota; Metazoa; Cnidaria; Hydrozoa; Anthoathecata; Hydridae.
AAAAAUUUGUGUUAUAUUUGUGGUGCUAUUACAAAAAUGAUGAAUGAUGAGUAAAAAGGUAUGGUAGAUAAAAAGGUAUGGUAGAUAAAAA